UACGUAGGGGGCGAGCGUUAUCCGGAUUUAUUGGGCGUAAAGCGUUCGUAGGCGGUCUGUUAAGUCUGUGAUUUACGGCUGGAGCUUAACUCCAGUUUGUUACAGAAACUGGUAGACUUGAGUGUGGUAGAGGCAAGUGGAAUUUCUAGUGUAGCGGUUAAAUGCGUAGAUAUUCGAAGGAACACCAGUGGCGAAGGCGGCUUGCUGGACCAUUACUGACGCUGAGGAACGAAAGCGUGGGGAGCAAAUA
This 250-nucleotide ribosomal RNA is filed under the name uncultured prokaryote. RNAcentral describes it as "partial 16S ribosomal RNA". It matches the Rfam family "Bacterial small subunit ribosomal RNA", at positions 524 to 774 of the family's 1533-position model. The record is from RNAcentral.